GACGAACGCUGGCGGCGUGCUUAACACAUGCAAGUCGUGCGGUAAGGCCCUUUCGGGGGUACACGAGCGGCGAACGGGUGAGUAACACGUGAGCAACCUGCCCUUCACUUUGGGAUAACUGCCGGAAACGGUGGCUAAUACCGGAUAUGACUUCCUCACGCAUGUGGGGUGGUGGAAAGCCUUCGGGUGGUGGGGGAUGGGCUCGCGGUCUAUCAGCUUGUUGGUGGGGUGAUGGCCUACCAAGGCUUCGACGGGUAGCCGGCAUGAGAGGGUGACCGGCCACACUGGGACUGAGACACGGACCAGACUCCUACGGGAGGCAGCAGUGGGGAAUAUUGGACAAUGGGAGAAAGCCUGAUCAAGAAACGCCGCGUGAGGGAUGACGGCCUUCGGGUUGUAAACCUCUUUCGCCUGCGACGAAGCGAGAGUGACGGUAGCAGGUAAAGAAGCACCGGCCAACUACGUG
This 466-nucleotide ribosomal RNA is filed under the name uncultured bacterium. Its description in RNAcentral is "partial 16S ribosomal RNA". It matches the Rfam family "Bacterial small subunit ribosomal RNA", at positions 28 to 507 of the family's 1533-position model. The record is from RNAcentral.